GCGCCCGUAGCUCAAUUGGAUAGAGCGUUUGACUACGGAUCAAGAGGUUAGGGGUUCGACUCCUCUCAGGCGCG
This 74-nucleotide transfer RNA is filed under the name Bacillus cereus. RNAcentral's name for it is "tRNA-Arg". It matches the Rfam family "tRNA". Rfam says of the family: Transfer RNA (tRNA) molecules are approximately 80 nucleotides in length. The record is from RNAcentral. Lineage: Bacteria; Bacillati; Bacillota; Bacilli; Caryophanales; Bacillaceae.